UGGUUAUUGAUGUUAAGUGCUUGCAUUUAAUUGAUUUCCCAUUGAGACGAGUGGCGAACUGGUGAGUAACACGUGGGUAACCUGCCCUUGAAGUAGGGGAUAACACUUGGAAACAGGUGCUAAUACCGUAUAACAACCAAAACCACCUGGUUUUGGUUUAAAAGAUGGCUUCGGCUAUCACUUUAGGAUGGACCCGCGGCGUAUUAGCUUGUUGGUAAGGUAACGGCCUACCAAGGCAAUGAUACGUAGCCGACCUGAGAGGGUAAUCGGCCACAUUGGGACUGAGACACGGCCCAAACUCCUACGGGAGGCAGCAGUAGGGAAUCUUCCACAAUGGACGAAAGUCUGAUGGAGCAACGCCGCGUGAGUGAUGAAGGGUUUCGGCUCGUAAAACCCUGUUGUUGGAGAAGAACAGGUGUGAGAGUAACUGUUCACAUCUUGACGGUAUCCAACCAGAAAGCCACGGCUAACUACGUGCCAGCAGCCGCGGUAAUACGUAGGUGGCAAGCGUUGUCCGGAUUUAUUGGGCGUAAAGCGAGCGCAGGCGGUUUCUUAGGUCUGAUGUGAAAGCCUUCGGCUUAACCGGAGAAGUGCAUCGGAAACCAGGAGACUUGAGUGCAGAAGAGGACAGUGGAACUCCAUGUGUAGCGGUGAAAUGCGUAGAUAUAUGGAAGAACACCAGUGGCGAAGGCGGCUGUCUGGUCUGUAACUGACGCUGAGGCUCGAAAGCAUGGGUAGCGAACAGGAUUAGAUACCCUGGUAGUCCAUGCCGUAAACGAUGAGUGCUAAGUGUUGGAGGGUUUUCCGCCCU
This 811-nucleotide ribosomal RNA is filed under the name uncultured bacterium. RNAcentral's name for it is "bacterial SSU rRNA". It matches the Rfam family "Bacterial small subunit ribosomal RNA", at positions 45 to 839 of the family's 1533-position model. The record is from RNAcentral.